Molecule: transfer RNA, 63 nt
Filed under: Arhopalus unicolor
Lineage: Eukaryota; Metazoa; Arthropoda; Insecta; Coleoptera; Cerambycidae
Description: tRNA-Pro
Source: RNAcentral
CAAAGGAUAGUUUAUUAAAAUAUUAAUUUUGGAGAUUAAAGAUAAGAAUUAUAUCUUUCCUUU